RNAcentral lists this ribosomal RNA (463 nucleotides) under uncultured bacterium. RNAcentral describes it as "bacterial SSU rRNA". It matches the Rfam family "Bacterial small subunit ribosomal RNA", at positions 1 to 507 of the family's 1533-position model. The record is from RNAcentral.
CGUACGAUACGAGUUUGAUCCGUGGCUCAGAACGAACGCUGGCGGCAUGCCUAACACAUGCAAGUCGAACGAAGGCUUCGGCCUUAGUGGCGCACGGGUGCGUAACGCGUGGGAACCUGCCCCUCGGUUCGGAAUAACAGUUAGAAAUGACUGCUAAUACCGGAUGAUGACUUCGGUCCAAAGAUUUAUCGCCGAGGGAUGGGCCCGCGUAGGAUUAGCUAGUUGGUGGGGUAAAGGCCUACCAAGGCGACGAUCCUUAGCUGGUCUGAGAGGAUGAUCAGCCACACUGGGACUGAGACACGGCCCAGACUCCUACGGGAGGCAGCAGUGGGGAAUAUUGGACAAUGGGCGAAAGCCUGAUCCAGCAAUGCCGCGUGAGUGAUGAAGGCCUUAGGGUUGUAAAGCUCUUUUACCAGGGAUGAUAAUGACAGUACCUGGAGAAUAAGCUCCGGCUAACUCCGUG